AUGACCACGCCGACGAGCGGCGUUGCGCCGGCGCCGUCCCGUGCUACCGCCGCACCGUCAAAGCUCCCAAAUGCGUCAGAGGCGAAGAAAAGAAAAAUAUCCGCGAAGAAGAAGGCGGCGGACGGUUCCGGCACCUCGAAGAAGAAGAAGCUUGCAGGGCGGCGGACGGCUCCGGCGUCUACCGAAGCGCCGGCGAGCUCAAUAGUUGAGCCGGCGGCCGACGCGCACCACGUGCUCGACGAGAUGCCCACAAGUCUCAACGAUGAUGCAUACAUGUCAACUAUGGGUGUUGGGUCCAACAAUUCGCAUUGGUCUCAAACCAAUGAAACCCAUUUGGACGACCAUGAGUUUGAGGUGGACGAGGAGGGUGAGGGCAUUGUCGAGGCGCCGAAAGGAAGAGCGGGCAAUUACACCAUCAAUGAUGACAAAUUACUAUGCAAUACUUGGUUGCAAGUGUCGAGGGAUCCAUCUGUUGGAGGUGAUCAAAGUAGAGAUGCUUAUUGGGGGCGAAUGAAAGAACACUUUGAUGCUCAGAACAUGAGUGGAAUUGACCGCUCCGAGAGAUCACUUCGGUCCCGAUGGUCGACAAUCAACUCGGAAUGUCAAAAGUGGGCGGCCGCACAAAAGGCAGUUGACAAGCUUAACCCAAGUGGGACAAAUGAGGAUGAUAGAUACAACAUUGCACAAAACUUGUUCAGAGAAGAGACGAGGACGACCAAGAAGGGGAAGAUCAAGAAAGGAAAGAUCUUUACCUUGCCUCAUUGCUAUGAAGUGUUGAAGGAUGAUGAGAAAUGGAGGAAGCGUGAAGAUUUGGAUGAUUUGCAUUUGAGCAACAAACGCAAGCGCACAAUUGAGUUGAAUGAUGAUGAUGAGGAGGAUGAUGCCUCAAGUGAGGACGGCAAGAGAAGCCCCACACCCAACUCGGUUUCAUACUCGAAACCAAAACGACCGGAUGGGUGCAAGAAGGACAAAACCGAAAAGAAGAAGAGGAAAGGAGAUGAUGAUCUCACAAAUGCUAUGGAAGCUAUUGUGAAGGCAAGAAAAGAAGCGAUCGAGGUGAGGAAGAUGGCAAGGAACCAAGAUGCCGCGGCCGAGGAGAGGAGGUUGGCGGCCGAGGAGAGGAGGGUGGCCGCCGAGGAGAGGAAAGUGGCAUUGGAGGAGAGGAAGGUUGCCAUGGAGGAGCGAACUAGGUUGUUGGAAUGGGAAAAAUACUUGUUCUUCGUGGACACAUCUUUGUUCAAUGAAGCGCAAAUGGAAUAUGUCAACCUUGCCCGUCAAGAAGUAUUGAUUCAAAAAAGAGCCAUGAUCAACACAAUGGGUAGCGGCAUGGGUGGCGGUGGCCUCGGCGGCAUGGGUGGCGGUGGCCUAGGCGGCAUGGGAGGCAUGGGCCUCGGCAUCAUUGGAGGCUUGGGUGGCUUCGGAGGCAUGGGUGCACCUCCGGCCGCCAUGGGAGGCAUGGGUGCACCUCCGGCCGCCAUGGGAGGCAUGGGUGGCUUUCGAGCACCCUCCAAUGCUAUGGGAGCCAUGGGUGGCUUUGGAGCACCCUCCAACGUUAUGGGAGGCAUGGGUGGCAUGAGUUUUGCUUCUCUCAUGGGAGGCAUGGGUGCACCUCCGGUCGCCAUGGGAGGCAUGGGUGCACCUCCGGCCAUGCCUUUCGAUGUGCCUCACACACAUACCCGAGCAAAUGCCGUUGAAGAACUUGCCAAGACCGUCGGAGCUACAAGUGAUGCGGUGCGUGAUGAAGAGGAAGAUUCAUCGGCGGAAGAAGAGGAAGAAUCGUCGGCGGAAGAAGAGGAAGAAGACGAGCAAGAUGGUUGA
RNAcentral lists this ribosomal RNA (1818 nucleotides) under Triticum aestivum (bread wheat). RNAcentral describes it as "partial small subunit ribosomal RNA". The record is from RNAcentral. Lineage: Eukaryota; Viridiplantae; Streptophyta; Magnoliopsida; Poales; Poaceae.